AAAUAAGAAGCAAUUUGCAUUUAAUUUCGACUUAAAAGAAAGAGUAUAUACUCCUUAUUUA
This 61-nucleotide transfer RNA is filed under the name Japonica lutea. RNAcentral's name for it is "tRNA-Arg". Lineage: Eukaryota; Metazoa; Arthropoda; Insecta; Lepidoptera; Lycaenidae. The record is from RNAcentral. RNAcentral also lists the same sequence under 5 other names.